UACGGAGGGGGCUAGCGUUGUUCGGAAUUACUGGGCGUAAAGCGCACGUAGGCGGCUUUGUAAGUUAGAGGUGAAAGCCCAGGGCUUAACCCUGGAAUUGCCUUUAAGACUGCAUCGCUAGAAUCGUGGAGAGGCGAGUGGAAUUCCGAGUGUAGAGGUGAAAUUCGUAGAUAUUCGGAAGAACACCAGUGGCGAAGGCGACUCACUGGAUACGUAUUGACGCUGAGGUGCGAAAGCGUGGGGAGCAAACAGG
This 253-nucleotide ribosomal RNA is filed under the name uncultured bacterium. Its description in RNAcentral is "partial 16S ribosomal RNA". It matches the Rfam family "Bacterial small subunit ribosomal RNA", at positions 524 to 776 of the family's 1533-position model. The record is from RNAcentral.